UACGUAGGCAGCGAGCGUUGUUCGGAGUUACUGGGCGUAAAGGGUGUGUAGGCGGUUCUUUAAGUUUAGUGUGAAAUCUCCCGGCUCAACCGGGAGGGUGCGCCGAAUACUGAGGGACUUGGAGUGCGGGAGAGGAAAGUGGAAUUCCUGGUGUAGCGGUGAAAUGCGUAGAUAUCAGGAGGAACACCGGUGGUGUAGACGGCUUUCUGGACCGUAACUGACGCUGAGACACGAAAGCGUGGGUAGCAAACAGG
Molecule: ribosomal RNA, 254 nt
Filed under: uncultured bacterium
Lineage: Bacteria
Description: partial 16S ribosomal RNA
Rfam family: Bacterial small subunit ribosomal RNA
Source: RNAcentral